UUAUCUGUACAGUAAUUUCAAUUCAAGAACAACUCAUAACGUAUUCAUAGUUAUGUGAAUUCUCGUGUGUGUUGGUGGUGCUCUGAACGUGUCUUGUAUGGAUCAUAAAAAAAAUAAUGAUAAUGGAACAUUGAAAUAUAGAUUUUCAGUAUAGGAAAAAUCUUGAGAUAUGGGGGAUGUAUAUUGUGAAUUUGUUGUUUCUGCAGAAUAAGUAAUCACCAACACAUUAGUAGUGGAUGAGGUGAAACAGUUUGUGAAAGGAGGAACAUUAAAUCCUUACCCCCUUCUUGAUCGAAAGCAGCGUGACUUGAGGAGAGAAAGGAAGUGGUGAUUGAUCUAUACUUUGAGGGUUAUUUAGAGGAGUAGUUGGGUGGGAGUAGCUGAAAGU
This 388-nucleotide long non-coding RNA is filed under the name Salvia miltiorrhiza (redroot sage). Its description in RNAcentral is "long non-coding RNA (SMIL_LNC014368)". The record is from RNAcentral. Lineage: Eukaryota; Viridiplantae; Streptophyta; Magnoliopsida; Lamiales; Lamiaceae.